Molecule: long non-coding RNA, 2834 nt
Organism: Gorilla gorilla gorilla (western lowland gorilla)
Lineage: Eukaryota; Metazoa; Chordata; Mammalia; Primates; Hominidae
Exons: 4
Source: RefSeq, a predicted model, not a curated record
AUGAGUACAGAAUUUGUGUCAAAAUGAUGAGAUGCAUUCUUUCCUUUUUCUCUUCCAGAUUUUUGAUAUAGAUUUGACAUAUUGUUUCUGAAAUGGAAAACUACAGUUGUCUGUUGGUACCCAAGAGGGAUUGGUUCCAGGAUCCCCAAAGAUACCAAAAUUUGAGGAUGCUCAAGUCUCUUAUAUAGAAGGGCAUAGUAUUUGCAUAUAACCUGUGCACAUCCUCCAGUAUAUUUAAAUAAUGUCCAGGGUACUUACAAUACCUAACACAAUGUAAGUGCUAUGUAAAUAGCUGUUAUGUUGUUUUUUUUAUUGUUGUACUAUUAUUUUUUAUUCUUGGGAAGUUUUUCCUUUUUUUUUUUCUGAGACAGAAUCUUGCUUUGUCACCCAGGCUGGAGUGUUGACCUUCUGGGCUCAAGUGAUCCUCCUGCCUCAGCCUCCCGAAUAGCUGAGAUUACAGGAACGCACUACUAUGCCUGCCUAAUUUUUGCAUUUUUUGUAGAGAUUAGGUCUUGCCAUGUUGCCCAGGCUGGUCUCAAACUCCUGAGCUCAAGCAGUCCUCCCACCUCAGCCUCCCAAAAUCCUGAGAUCAUGGUGUAAGCCACUGCACCUGGCCUUUUUCCAAAUAGUUAUAAUCAGCCACUGGUUGAAUUCACAGUUGGUUGAAUUCAUGGUUGGUUGAAUCUGCAGAUGUGAAACCAAUGGAUACUAAUAGCCACCUAUAUUACAUAGUACAAACCUAGCUUUGAAAAUAGUGAGACAGAUAUGAAAAUAAAAUAGAAUUCACGGGAGAAAAUGAGGGGUUCUAAGAAAGGUGUAGACAAUACAUUACCAAUACAGGAGGUCAGAGGAAGGGGAGAUCUGUCAGGCUGGGGUCUUCAGGAAUGCUUCACGAGGGAGGGACUACCAGUGGACUUCAGUAAUUUGUAGAGCUGGGGAUGAAAGGAGGGCUAAGCAGGAGGCAUGCAAGUUGCAAAGUGGAGCAAUGGGAGAUGUUCUCAGGAAACAGCACUGCGUGUCAUGGAAUAUUUUACUUUCAGUUUUUCUGGCUUUUCAGAAAAUGUGGUAACUUUAAAGUUUUCGCAGUUGAAUUAAUUCCACAGAACAACGGGUUGUAGAAUCAUAGCAACAUAAUUAUGAGUUGUGCUUCUGGCUCCAAAUCUUUCAUCUAAAAAUAAUCGCAGUGACCACAUCUUGGGAAAACAAAGCCACUACCUAUUCUUGUGCUCCAGCUAUCUCGGUAGUCACUUACUGGAAAAUGGAUUACAGGCAUUCUCUAAGGCAUGAACAUGAUUUUGAAGAAAUCCUUUACCAUCACACAUCACACAAGCCUGCCUGUGCUCCUCCAGAAACGUAGCCCUAGUACUCCUGGAAGCCCAUUUUGUUCCUUCAGGGAGUAUGCUUUCUUUCUGCAGACAGGAGAAAAAUGCUGGAAACAGAGAUGUGGGGAGUAAGAGGAGGGACGGUAGUUAUGUUUUGGUACUUUAUUUAAGUACCCGAGUGGAUUAUACUAGAUGCUGCGAUUCAGAAACACAGGCUGUCUACAGGUGAGACACAAGUUUCACCUCCAGGGGUACACAGUUUAAUUGCAGCAAAAUGUUUUAAAGAAGGAAUGCUUCACUGUGGAAUAAGGAAACAAGUGGCUUGUUAUCUAAACAGCACAAGGAACCCCUCCACCGAUGAGUUGUUCACGUUUUCUUGGUUUAUGCUUCAGGUAGAGGUAAGUGAAGCUUCCAAUAAUAUUAUGCCCUAAAGCUUCAAACUGGAAGAAAAAAAAAAAAGCCCUUGCACCCCUGAAAUAUGCAUGGAUGCCUGAGCAUGCACACACACACACACACACACACACACUUUUACCUUGCUCUAAAUUUUUGCUCAUGUACUUAGUAAUAAAAUGUUAUUUUUAGAGUUCACAGCCCCAAUAUGGAAAUGUGUCUAGAGCUUGGAUCUAGAAGUUUAUGUCUUUCUUGAAGUUCCUGGGUCAUAAUAACCACAGUGAGGACAAAGGCACCAGAACAAUGCCAAACCAGGAGAUAUGGCCUGAAUUAGAAGGAAGACAAGUUUUUAUCAGGCAUAACAAUGAAAGAAGUUGAAACCAUGGAGUUAUUAUUAAGAGAAGUUGUGGAGUAGUUAUUCCUGGUAGCCUCUAAGUAGCAGUUGGUCCUAAAUCACAAAGGGGUCACAAAUGGAACAAACAUAAAGAAAGAAUGAGGGAUGACAGUGGAAAAAAUAGAGGUGGAAAAGAGAGGAAGAAAGGAGAAAAAGGAGGAAAAAGGCAGUAAAAAAUGUUCUUGAAACAGUUGGCAAUAGUUACAAAAGUGAGACGAAAAAGUGCACGGGUUAAAGAUGAUAAAAACAUUGCUUAAGGAAGAACCAAGCAACCCAAGAGUUCUGAAAAUAGGGGAAAUGGGGAGUGCUUGGAAUGUGUAUGAUCUCCCCAGAGGAAACAAUGUUGAGAAAGAAAGGAACUCGAUUCAUUCCCAAAGUGGGCCACUGGGUGACCAUGAAAGGCCAGCGCAGCCUGGUGCUCUCUUGACCAAGGGAAACGUGGGUUGGAGGAGUAACUUCAGGUAAAAUCAAGGUCUGUGGAGAUGGAGGGUCCAUGUGCUCGGAAGAUAUAUGUUCUAAAUGUAGCAACACAUGUUUUUUUUUUUAGAAACAACUUUAUUGAUGUAUCAUUUAAAUACCUUUAAAUUCACCUGUUUUAAGUGUACAGUUCAAUGAUUUUUAGAUGUACUGUUGUGCAACCAUCACCACAAACCAGUUUUAGAACAUUUCUCUCACUCCAGUAAAAUCUCUCCUGCUUCAUUACACUUACUCUUUGUUCUCACUCCCAG